UUUCUUCUAUUUACAUCUUCUAAGUUAAUCUGACCUAUUUUUAGUCAAAAAUCCAAUCAUACUUGCAUUUUUUUCACCGAUCUUUGUCUCUAGGCUAGAGGUGGUUUGAUUCUUUAAUUAUUUUUUUUGUUUUUUUUUGUUUUGUUUUAUUUUGUUUUUGGUAAGGGAUACUGUAUCAUAGUAUACAACUCUGACUAUCCUAGAACUCAUUGCCUAUACCAAGCUGGCAGCAAGAACAAUGAGAUAUUUGUGCCUCUGUAUCCUCAGUGCUGUAAUUAAAUGCAUUCACGAAUCUAAGCAUCUUGUUCAUUACUUUUGUAAUGAGAAUAUUUCAUACAAUAUCUCUGUGUGCUUACUACUAUUGAUCUUUUUGCUUGUCUCUUUAUGUGCAUUCAUUGGCAUUUGUCCUCCAAGACUUUCUCCAACUCAAAGGGUGAAGAAAUGACAGAUGAGAACUCAUUAUUUGGUUUCCUUCAAAAAUGACUUGGUGAUCAUGAAUACAUUAUAUCUUCUGUGUCAGGAAACAAGUGGGCGAACUCCCAACAUUAUUUGAAAAUAUUGUCAAUGAAAUGUACAUGUCUAAUAUUUCAUUCUCAUGCUACUUUUGUACAUAUAUGUGGGAUGUUUUAGAACGCAGUGACGUACAAUGAUGUACUGGUGAGCUUUACUCAGGAAGAAUGGGCUUUGCUGGAUCCUUCCCAGAAGAGUCUCUACAAAGAUGUGAUGCUCGAAACCUAUAGGAACCUCACUGCCAUAGGUAAGAUUGUGAAUGUUGUUUCUCCUUUUGAAAGAGGGGGCAACUGUAUUUUAGUUGUGUGGUAGUAUGUGUGGUUGCUUGUUUUUCUUUUUGUUAUUGAUGUACAUCUACACUUUUAUUUGAGAAGGAGGAAGAAUGAUGAGAAUAAAUUAGCCUUGUUUGUGAGGAUCACUGAAGAUAGUUUCUUAAAUUUUGCCUGAAUUCCACAAAUAUAUCAUGUAUUUCCUUGUACUGUCUUCUAGGCUAUAACUGGGAAGAAGAUAAUAUUGAAGAAGAUUGUGAAAAUUCUGGAAGACCCACUAGGUAAUUUUCUUGUGCAUGCUGAUCCAAAUAUGCCUUUGAAGAAAUCUUAGUUUGUUCUUGAAGUUUUAGUUAAAAUCAGGGGUGUAAAUAAGCACAGUUUUAUGGAUACUGAUUAUUAAAUACUCACAAAAAGGACAACUCAGUGUCAGGUAUUUGAUUGUGUUUGCAAGGCUUUCCUUUAAGACAGAAAACACGGAAACACUGCCUUAACAGACAGUACCUUAUCAAGCACAGCCCCAUUCAUUCUAUGGUGUAGAUCUGCCAGUCUGUUUAGUCUCAUGCCACUCAGCUAGUAUAAAAACUGUACACACUGAGUAUGAAAUCAGUUUAUAUCCAAAACUGUCU
Molecule: long non-coding RNA, 1405 nt
Filed under: Mus musculus (house mouse)
Lineage: Eukaryota; Metazoa; Chordata; Mammalia; Rodentia; Muridae
Description: long non-coding RNA chr17:17202064-17203469
Source: RNAcentral